GUGUCAGCAGCCGCGGUAAGACGAAGGAUCCAAGCGUUGUCCGGAUUUACUGGGUUUAAAGGAUGCGUAGGCGGACACUUAAGCCAGUGGUGAAAUCCCAUAGCUCAACUAUGGAACUGCCAUUGGAACUGUGUGUCUUGAAUUCGGUUGAGGUAGAUGGAAUAUAACAUGUAGCGGUGAAAUGCUUAGAUAUGUUAUAGAACACCGAUUGCGAAGGCAGUCUACUAAGCCGACAUUGACGCUGAGGCAUGAAAGCGUGGGGAGCGAACAGGAUUAGAUACCCUGGUAGUCCACGCCCUAAACGUUGAUUACUCGCUGUUAGCGAUAUACUGUUAGCGGCUAAGCGAAAGCGUUAAGUAAUCCACCUGGGAAGUACGAUCGCAAGAUUGAAACUUAAAUGAAUUGACGGGG
RNAcentral lists this ribosomal RNA (411 nucleotides) under uncultured bacterium. Its description in RNAcentral is "bacterial SSU rRNA". It matches the Rfam family "Bacterial small subunit ribosomal RNA", at positions 505 to 918 of the family's 1533-position model. The record is from RNAcentral.